RNAcentral lists this unclassified non-coding RNA (409 nucleotides) under Bifidobacterium mongoliense. Its description in RNAcentral is "partial 16S-23S ribosomal RNA". Lineage: Bacteria; Bacillati; Actinomycetota; Actinomycetes; Bifidobacteriales; Bifidobacteriaceae. The record is from RNAcentral.
CCUUUCUACGGAGAAUUCAGGCCACUGUUUGGUGGCCGGUGUCGCCUCCCCCAUGGAUGUUCCGUGGGUGUGGGGCUGCUGGUGUGGAAAAAAUCUUCUUGACUGUGGUACGGAUACGCUUUUGGGCCCCCGAGUCGCCACCCCGUCUUGAUGACGGUGCGAUUCGCUGCCCUCGCGUCGGACGGUUCCUUCCGGGAUCGUGGGACGCGUGGUGCGUGGUGGUUUGAGAACUGGAUAGUGGACGCGAGCAGGAAGACGUGAAGUCUUCUUGCUUUAUAUAUGACAAUUUCAGACCGACUCUUGUAUUUGGAGUCGAUCGAUCGUUUUGUGAUCAUUAUAGUGUGAUGAUUUGUUGUCUGGGAAUAAGCUAGGAUUAUGGAUCUUGCGGCAUGGAUACCCCAUGGGUAUG